Molecule: unclassified non-coding RNA, 277 nt
Filed under: Hevea brasiliensis (rubber tree)
Lineage: Eukaryota; Viridiplantae; Streptophyta; Magnoliopsida; Malpighiales; Euphorbiaceae
Source: RNAcentral
GAGAGAGAGAGAGAGAGAGAGUGGUCUUUACAGCUUUUUCUAUGGGCUUUGAAGUGAUAAUGGAGGCAGCAAACUAAUCCAAUGGAGGAGGAAUGUUCUUACAGUUCUUACACUGGACACAGAUGUUGGAGUAAUGAUAAAAGCAAAGCCAAACCAGAUUGCUUUUAGAUAUGGAGGAAUUAUUCUUUUUCAGUUGGUUAAUGCCAUCAUCAACCGUUCGAUUACAGUUUACUUUUAUUAAUUAAGAUAAGAAUAUUUCUUUAAUCUUCUGAUUUAA